GUUGGCCGUGGUUACUGGCCAUUUGGAUUUUCUCUGAGCCACUUCUGAGCAGAGAGGGAUACACAGCCCAUAUAAUGACAUUGGGGCCUCUGUUUCACAUUUUCAAAUCUCCCCAUGCUCCUAAUGCCUAUUGCAGGAAAUGGAACAAGGUUGGUGCUCAUUUGUAUCUGUUGAAGGGCACUGAGUCUCUUUGCUGUCAGCAGUGGUCUUGCCAAGCUGUUCCUUGUGGUUGGAAGCAUUCCAGCUUUAGAAAUCACACAAAGCAAAUUGCUAACAGUGAGUGGAAUAAAUAUUUGAGCAUUUCAGGGCCCUGGUGGCUUUGAUGGUUAAGCCAAGUGUCUUGCUGAGGGGCAAGAAUCUGAGACUGACAGAUCACAGGCUAUGGAGGCCUUUGGUGGGUUGGACCCACUAUGCUAUUUGGCAAAUCUGCCCCCAAAGACUCAUUUGGAAGCUACAGAGCGAAUAGUUCAAGGCUACUGUGGAAAGUGCUGCCUCAUGGGGCAUGUCUUGGAAGUGACUUGCUGUGUGACUCAUAGGCUUUUUGGCUGCAAGGAACUCAGAGGGGUGGCAUCAGCUUACCCCGAUCACCAGUCAGACCGCAUCAAAUCAUGCCCUCCGUGACAGCUAAAGUGCCCACCAGUCCCCCAGCCUGGCCCUGGAGACUGGUCCUGACCUGGCCUCCACCCUCCCUCCCAGCGCCAUCUACUAUUGUUUCCAUUCCUGUGUAUUGAGAACAAUUGUUCCCACCUCUUUGGGUAUGAGUGUGAAGUUUGAAAUCAGAGAGCUCUGCAUUCAAGUUGUGGCUUCAUUACUGCAUUCUGAGUGCUGAACAUGGUGCCUGGUAUAUAGGAAUGAGUCAAUAAAUAGUUUUAUUUUUGUUUUCUUAUUAAAAAUAUUUUUAAAGAGAUGGGGGUCUCUCUAUGUUGCCCAGGCUUGACUCAAACUUCCUUCUGGGCUCAAGUGAUCUUCCUGCUUCAGCCUACUGAGUAGCUGCGACUACAGGUGGGUGUUACUGCACAUGGAUUACAAAAACAAGUCUUAAAACAUAUGACUCCUAGUCACUCAAAAUGUGUUCCCUAGACCAGCAACAUAGGUAUCACCUGGGAACUUCUUAGAAAUGCAGGCUCACGCCUGUAAUCCCAGCACUUUGGGAGGCCGAGGCAGGCGGAUCACGAGAUCAGGAGAUCGAGACCAUCCUGGCUAACACGGUGAAACCCCGUCUCUACUAAAAAUACAAAAAAAUUAGCCAGGCGUGGUGGCGGGCACCUGUAGUCCCAGCUACUCGGGAGGCUGAGGCAGGAGAAUGGCAUGAACCCGAGAGGCAGAGCUUGCAGUGAGCCGAGAUUGUGCCACUGCACUCCAGCCUGGGCGACAGAGCGAGACUCCGUCUCAAAAAAAAAAAAAAAAAAAAAAAAA
Molecule: long non-coding RNA, 1416 nt
Filed under: Macaca fascicularis (crab-eating macaque)
Lineage: Eukaryota; Metazoa; Chordata; Mammalia; Primates; Cercopithecidae
Description: lncRNA (ENSMFAG00000051572.1)
Source: RNAcentral